UGUCAUAUGGUGAUAAUGGUCCC
Molecule: non-coding RNA, 23 nt
Filed under: Mus musculus (house mouse)
Lineage: Eukaryota; Metazoa; Chordata; Mammalia; Rodentia; Muridae
Also listed under: 1 other name
Source: RNAcentral